RNAcentral lists this unclassified non-coding RNA (296 nucleotides) under uncultured Ascomycota. RNAcentral describes it as "sequence contains ITS1". The stretch from base 1 to 105 matches the Rfam family "5.8S ribosomal RNA", at positions 50 to 154 of the family's 154-position model. The record is from RNAcentral. Lineage: Eukaryota; Fungi; Ascomycota.
GAAAUGCGAUAAGUAGUGUGAAUUCCAGAAUUCAGUGAAUCAUCGAAUCUUUGAACGCACAUUGCGCCCCUUCGUAUUCCAUGGGACAUGUCUGUUCGAGCGUCAUUUGUACCCUCAAGCUUUGCUUGGUGUUGGUUUUUUGUCCUCUCUGGAGGACUCGCCUUAAAACACUUGGCAGCCGGCAUAUUGGUAUCGGAGCGCAGAACAAGUCGCGCUUCUUUCCAUGAAUGUCAGCAUCCAUCACGACUAUUUUCACUCUUGACCUCGGAUCAGGUAGGGAUACCCGCUGAACUUAA